CUACUUACCUGGCUGGGGAAAUACCACAAUCAACAAGGUUCUCCCCGGCGAAACCCGCACCUCUGUAACUCCGGAGGCACUGAUCCAUGCGGCUUCACCACAUAAGGGAAUUUCGGCUGCAUAAUUUACGGUAUUGGUGGACUGCAACAAUACACUUUGGAGAUCCACUC
This 170-nucleotide small nuclear RNA is filed under the name Microtus ochrogaster (prairie vole). RNAcentral's name for it is "U1 spliceosomal RNA (ENSMOCG00000004761.1)". It matches the Rfam family "U1 spliceosomal RNA". Rfam says of the family: U1 is a small nuclear RNA (snRNA) component of the spliceosome (involved in pre-mRNA splicing). Its 5' end forms complementary base pairs with the 5' splice junction, thus defining the 5' donor site of an intron. Lineage: Eukaryota; Metazoa; Chordata; Mammalia; Rodentia; Cricetidae. The record is from RNAcentral.